CAUCUCCCCCCCCCCCCCUUCCCAGGCAGGGCACUGUAGAAGCAGACACUUUUCAUGUGGCAGGUUUCUGGCCCGAUGAUGUAUGACCUGUUGGCGCUACUGAAUGGUGCCCUUUGUUCCAGGGUAUCCCAUGUGCCCCCUUUUUAUUGACUUGUUGAUUCAGAAGGGCAGGAAAGUUCCACAAAUCCCACUGCAGGCCUUGCUCUCUAGCCAUGUCCAGGUGGGAAAGCCCCAGGACCUCAUGCUUCCCAGAAAGCUGGUAGGAAGAUAUGGGCCGCUUAGACUCAGAAUAUCCCAUAAGAGACAGACAGCUUUCUUUACCUUGGAUUCAGGCAACUGUGUAUCUGGAGAGAGGCUGGGAACCCAUGUCUAGCUCCCAGCCCUCUGCCUGGGGUUCUAGAAGGUGUGGAGUGUUCCAGAAUGCAGUCCACCCAGAAAGAAAAGAACAGAGCAGGUGUGAGUUAGGAUGAACCCACCACUUCUCUGUGUCCUAAGCCAGGUUCAGUUAAGUUUUUCUCUGUGACCAAAAAGCCCAAGGUGGGAGCCAACAGCCAAGGAAAGAAGGAGCUCGGCUUCCUUCUGCAGGAGGAAGUCCACCCAGAGAGCAGCCCUAAAGCCACAGGAAAGGACUCUGGGGAAAUAGGAGACAAGGUGGACUUUUUAUCCAGCAGGAAAUCUCAUCUUUAUCCUGAUGAAGGGUGGACUGGAUUCAUCUCCUUUUUUGCCACUCCAUCUUGUGAGCAAGCUUUAGGGAUCUGGUUGAGGAGGAGGAUGCAGAGGUCUCUGCCAGGCCUUGAAUCCUUUCUCUAGGGUGCAGGUGGCUGAUGAGCUCAUACAUCUGACUGCUCUGGAAAGCCUCAGGUUCUCACUCCAACCUGCUCUUCAGUUCCUCAUCUGAAGAAGCUGCACAGAUCCCACCGAGAAUUCCCUACGUGUAAGACCACCUCCUCCAAACCACCAGGUUGUGUGCUGACUACUGAAAUGUGACAGAUUCUUGUGUACUGCCUGCCUUGCCCUUCUGGGGUCUUUGUGGACCCUAAAAUCCAGACCCAUCAUCUGCAGAGUAGCACGAGAUCAAAGAUACAGCUGUUCCAUUGGUCCUAAAUUCCUUCACUCUAGGCUCAGAGGCUCCAUAGUGUAAAUGCUCAGAGGCACAGAAGAAAUACCAGCAAAAGGGAGGAUGAGACCAUUGCUGAGCCAAGAAAUGACAAGUCAGUAGUAAAGAGCAUCCACACACUUCACAGUUGUAAAAUGGCUUUAUGUUCUGAUAUGUAAAAUAAAAUGUCCAUGCUAUAUAACAAAACACUUGAAGUUCCAUACCCCCUGUUGGCUAAUGUGUCUUUCUAAUAAAGUUUAAUCUGUGGUGUGUA
Molecule: long non-coding RNA, 1370 nt
Organism: Herpailurus yagouaroundi (jaguarundi)
Lineage: Eukaryota; Metazoa; Chordata; Mammalia; Carnivora; Felidae
Exons: 2
Source: RefSeq, a predicted model, not a curated record